RNAcentral lists this ribosomal RNA (392 nucleotides) under uncultured bacterium. Its description in RNAcentral is "bacterial SSU rRNA". It matches the Rfam family "Bacterial small subunit ribosomal RNA", at positions 28 to 415 of the family's 1533-position model. The record is from RNAcentral.
GACGAACGCUGGCGGCGCGCCUAACACAUGCAAGUCGAACGAGCGAGAGGAGGUUUACUUUCUUGAGCGAGUGGCGAACGGGUGAGUAACGCGUGAGGAACCUGCCUCAAAGAGGGGGACAACAGUUGGAAACGACUGCUAAUACCGCAUAAGCCCACGACCCGGCAUCGGGUAGAGGGAAAAGGAGCAAUCCGCUUUGAGAUGGCCUCGCGUCCGAUUAGCUAGUUGGUGAGGUAACGGCCCACCAAGGCGACGAUCGGUAGCCGGACUGAGAGGUUGAACGGCCACAUUGGGACUGAGACACGGCCCAGACUCCUACGGGAGGCAGCAGUGGGGAAUAUUGCACAAUGGGGGAAACCCUGAUGCAGCGACGCCGCGUGGAGGAAGAAGGU